UCUGGGAUAGCUCAGUCAGGAGAGCACGAGCCUCUUAAUCUCAAGGUUGCGAGUUCGAGUCCCACAUUGGGCAAAA
Podarcis lilfordi (Lilford's wall lizard) is the source of this 76-nucleotide non-coding RNA. Lineage: Eukaryota; Metazoa; Chordata; Lepidosauria; Squamata; Lacertidae. The record is from the annotation of a GenBank genome assembly.